GGCACAAUCACAACAAUUGUUCCGGCAAAUAAUAUACCAAUAGCUCUCAAACGUAGUGUGACCUUGAUAUUUUGAUCAUUAAAAUGUUUAAGACAUAUCAGCUUUAACACAGUUGCAAAAACAGAGGAAAACGAUAAGUAAUCUAUUCUAUUCAUGGUGAAAUCUUUAAUUACACCAAGCGAUACAAACAAUGCGCCUAGAGACAGCAGACCAGUGGUAACCAUGGUGAUAUGCUGUAUUCGAG
Molecule: long non-coding RNA, 244 nt
Filed under: Mytilus galloprovincialis (Mediterranean mussel)
Lineage: Eukaryota; Metazoa; Mollusca; Bivalvia; Mytilida; Mytilidae
Source: RNAcentral